CCUGGCUCCAACAUCCCAGGGAAUUGUGUCACUCCCAUUGAGCAGCUGUGGGGCCCUCUCCCACAUGGCCCAGGUCCACCACUCUGUCAAAGGUCGCACAGCCCAGACAAAAACAGGACACAGCAGUGUGUGAAUGAGCCGGGCUUUCUCCUUCCCUCCACGUAAUAGAAGGUGCCUGAGGUUGUUGAAACACAGUCCAUUUCUCCUGGGAAUGACAAGAAUUUGAGGGAUGCUGACUUUCAAGGAAUACUGCAUGACAGGCAUCAAGAUAAACCUGAUGAAGAAAACAUAGGCCAGAAUCUGGGAAUCGGGAGCAAAGUAAUACAGCUUCGGGGACAGGCACGUAAUGAGGUCAUGAUGUAGGAGACUCCCUGCAGGACUGGCGGCCCCUGUUCCCUGGGUUGUUCUGGCUCUUUCAGGUGAGAGAGAAGGAUACAGACAGGAAAUGGCACUUCCUAGAAGGGCAACCCUCUGUUCCUGGGGUGUGUGGCAUCUUCCAGCGUUGGGUCUGAGGUUCUAGAUUUAUAUGUUAACAAGCUGAAUUCCUGCUUCAUCUGGAGGACUGCACAGUGUAUCUGAGAGAGGAUUUUCAGGAGGCCAGAAAAUCAAGCUGGAGGGAUUUUCAGCGUGUUGGGAGAUUGCUACCUGUUUUAAGUCAGGCCAUUGCCACGUCUUUUUCCCCACCUUGGAGACUUCAGCAAAUUGCUCAAAUGUCGGUGUGCUCUCAUGAACAGAAACGAUGGCACGGUGGGUCCUGGUCUCAAGACUUCCUCUCAAUGAUUCAGAGGUCUUGGGGGUUUUUUGUCUGAAUAUCAGGCAAAGAGGAAGGACGGCUACAAUGGAGGAGUCUCCUACCACGCUUGUGGUCGUCACUGUAGUGCUCAGUUGAAUGGUGUGUCCAUUGGGGUUGGAGUCCCCAUCCUGUUCUGGGUCCUGGCCCCCCACAGGCUCCAGGGACAUAACCCUUCCAGUUCAGGAUCAUGUGCUGGGGCACUGUUCCCUGAGGUGGGACUCUGGGCUGUAACAGCUGCUUUUGAAGCAUGUUCCAGCUUCAACCACGUGCUUGGACGACACCAGCUCUUCCCACAUACUCUUCCCCAGCUCUUGUGUUGAGUUUGGCUUCCACCUUCCUCCAGCUGGGUCUCGCUAUGUUGCCCAAGCCAUUCUGGAGCUCCUGCGCUUAAGUGAUCCUCCUGCCUCAGCCUCCCAAGUAACUGGAAUUAUAAAUGUGAGCCACUGUGCCCAGCAAUUACAAAAUUUUUGGAAUGCAAUUGGGAAGUACAGCUGAAAAACUUCAGCAACGUGGGCUGUUUGAUUGUACAAUCGCACUUCUUGGAAUUUAUCCUACAGAAAUCAGUAGUCAAGUUCACAAAAACUGACAAUAGCCAUUACAGAGAAGCAGAAGAAAGGGAAAUAAAAACAUUCAAACCUACCAACAGGAGAUUGGACAAAUAAAUCAUGUUAUAACUAUACAAUGGGCUAUUAUGUAACCAUUAAAAUGAUCAUCUAUUCU
Molecule: long non-coding RNA, 1513 nt
Filed under: Homo sapiens (human)
Lineage: Eukaryota; Metazoa; Chordata; Mammalia; Primates; Hominidae
Description: HSALNT0355846
Source: RNAcentral